GCGAGCUUUCGCUACCAGAGGUCGGUGCGUGCGGGCGGCUUCCGGCGUGGUGACUGUUUCUGGAACGAUUUUGAGCCGAUCGUCUGCAGAGUUGUGCCGCUGCCUGUCCGUCUGCAUCAUGGCUGCUGGAGAGGGGCCGGUCCUCGCCACCGCGCCGGUCCAAUGUCCGACCGACCUAUCGCUGGACACUCUGGACGACCACAGCUCAUGUGCGGCAAUACGAGCGGCGCCGUUGGUACCGAGAUUAGAAACGUCCAUCUGCCGGUCAAAACUCAACUGCGGCCUGCGGAAACUCCAGCUCUCUCACAGGACGUCUGGCAGUUCGCGAGUUGGGGACACUGCUCCAGUAUACCGACCAAUGGACGUCACUUCAAUGGAUCGCGUCACAAACUUGACCCGUGUUUGGCGGUGUCGGGGCGGUCUCCCGGUGCCGAGUCCCGUCCGGCGGCUGUAUUGUUGACCCAAGAUGCCGUUCCGUCGUCCGAACUCCGGCUGCUUGUGACCUGGCGCCGGACAGACUCCGAACGGUGCGGCAGUACAGUAUGGAGUGUGGCGCCGGUAUACAGCUGACACCAGACGUCCGUCCAUCGGCCUCGCACCUGGACAAAGGUUCACCUCACCAGAGCGCCGGUGGCCCUGCUCCAACACACCACCGGGACCCGCCACAGGUUUCGGCUUACCAGGUCGUUUGCAUGCGAAGAACUUCAAAGAAGGAGCACCAAGAGUCGGAGAGCAGAAGAACCUCGUCCAAAGGGGGGAGAGGGGUAAUCGGGAAAGGAGGUAUGCGUGCCUGCCUUCUCUCCUGAUUGCCCCCUCCCUACCACGUAUAGAGGGAGGGGGUGAUCAGGGGGAGGUAGGUGAGCCUGCCCUCUCUCCUGAUUAUCCCCUCCCCUACCACGUGUAGGGGGGGGGGGUGAUCAGGGGGAGGAAGGUGAACCUGCCCUCUCUCCUGAUUAUCCCCUCCCCUACCACGUGUAGGGGGGGGGGGUGAUCAGGGGGAGGAAGGUGAACCUGCCCUCCCCCGAUUGUCCCCUCCGCCGCCGUGUAAAGGGGGGGAUAAUCAGGGGAGAGGGCAGGCACACCUACCUCUCCCCGAUUGCCCCUACCCUAUGUGUAGGGGGCAAUCGGGGGGAGGUAAGUGGGCCUGCUUUCUCCCCAGAUUGUCCCCUGCCAUGUGGGGGGGGGGGGGGGAGUAAUCGGGGAAAGGAGGCGGGAGUGCCUUCCCUCCUGAUGCUCCCCUCCCUGCCAUGUGUGUGAGAGGGGGGGUAAUCCCCUCACCUGCCGUGUAUGUGGGGGGGGGAGUAAGUGAACAUCAGAAGAAAAAUACAUGCUGGACUAUCG
RNA transcript from Amphibalanus amphitrite, 1341 nucleotides. RefSeq lists it as uncharacterized. The transcript is spliced from 8 exons. Lineage: Eukaryota; Metazoa; Arthropoda; Thecostraca; Balanomorpha; Balanidae. The record is from RefSeq and is a predicted model, not a curated record.